This 548-nucleotide ribosomal RNA is filed under the name Phyllachora furnasensis. RNAcentral describes it as "SSU rRNA". Lineage: Eukaryota; Fungi; Ascomycota; Sordariomycetes; Phyllachorales; Phyllachoraceae. The record is from RNAcentral.
GCUAAGGGAAGGGAAUUGGAGGAAGAGUUUUUGGGUAAGGGAUGAGAAUUGGAGUAAAAUUUAGGGAUAUGAUUAGACAAUAGUUUAUAAGUUGAUAAUUAGGCAGCAGUGGGCAAUAGUAUGAGAGAGUGUUAUUCAUUUUAAUAGGUUUAAAGGGUAUUAGAGGUUUAAUUAGUAAAGCGGUACAAUUAAUUAGAGUUUUAUAUAAGAAGGUAGUAUUGGAGUGUAGUGAUAAAAUAUUUGAUACCCGGGGGAUGGCAACGGGAAGGCAACCUUUAUUUAAAAUGACGUCCAAGGAGAAGGUUAGAGCACUAGAGGGAUUUGGUACCCCAGUAGUCUUUGCAGAAAAUUAUGAAUGUCAUAGAUUAGUAAUAGAUAUUAGGUAGUGUAGUGGGUGGAUAUUUAAUCUUACACUCCACUCCACUUUAAGUACAGGUUGAUAACAGUAUAAUAGUAUGGUUGGGCGCAUCUUCUUCGGCGGCCCGUAAGGUUAACUAUGUAUUAAUUAUGCAUAGUACAGUACAUAUGUACUAUGUAUGGAAGCCACC